AUCUUUUUCUUAUACAUAGUUUAGUACUAUUCUUUCUGGAAGAAUGUAUCAUUAUGAUCAACUUAUUUAUUUCCUGGAUUUUUGGAAACUUUUGUGGAA
Molecule: long non-coding RNA, 99 nt
Organism: Sander lucioperca (pikeperch)
Lineage: Eukaryota; Metazoa; Chordata; Actinopteri; Perciformes; Percidae
Exons: 3
Source: RefSeq, a predicted model, not a curated record